UGGGGAAUUUUGGACAAUGGGCGCAAGCCUGAUCCAGCCGUGCCGCGUGAGUGAAGAAGGCCUUCGGGUUGUAAGGCUCUUUCAGUAGGAACGAAACGAUAGGCUCUAACAUAGCCUGUUACUGACGGUACCUACAGAAGAAGCACCGGCUAACUACGUGCCAGCAGCCGCGGUAAUACGUAGGGUGCGAGCGUUAAUCGGAAUUACUGGGCGUAAAGCGUGCGCAGGCGGUUUCUUAAGCCAGAUGUGAAAGCCCCGGGCUUAACCUGGGAAUUGCGUUUGGAACUGGGAGACUAGAGUGUGGCAGAGGGAGGUAGAAUUCCACGUGUAGCAGUGAAAUGCGUAGAGAUGUGGAGGAAUACCGAUGGCGAAGGCAGCCUCCUGGGCCAGCACUGACGCUCAUGCACGAAAGCGUGGGGAGCAAACAG
Molecule: ribosomal RNA, 428 nt
Filed under: uncultured bacterium
Lineage: Bacteria
Description: bacterial SSU rRNA
Rfam family: Bacterial small subunit ribosomal RNA
Source: RNAcentral